This 405-nucleotide ribosomal RNA is filed under the name uncultured bacterium. Its description in RNAcentral is "partial 16S ribosomal RNA". It matches the Rfam family "Bacterial small subunit ribosomal RNA", at positions 28 to 526 of the family's 1533-position model. The record is from RNAcentral.
GCUGAACGCUGGCGGCGUGCCUAAUACAUGCAAGUCGAGCGAAGCGGGGACGGGUGAGUAACACGUGGAUAACCUCCUAUAAGACGGGGAUAACUUCGGGAAACCGGAGCUAAACCGGAUACUUAUCGAUGGAUACGCGCGGCAUUAGCUAGUUGGUAAGGUAACGGCUUACAAAGGCAACGAUGCAUAGCCGGCCUGAGAGGGUGAUCAGCCACACUGGAACUGAGACACGGUCCAUACUCCUACGGGAGGCAGCAGUAGGGAAGCUUCCGCAAUGGGCGAAAGCCUGACGGAGCAACGCCGCGUGAGUGAUGAAGGUCGUCGGAUCGUAGAACUCUGUUAUUAGGGAAGCGGUACCUAAUCAGAAAGCCACGGCUAACUACGUGCCAGCCGCCGCGGUAAUAC